Molecule: ribosomal RNA, 639 nt
Filed under: Triticum aestivum (bread wheat)
Lineage: Eukaryota; Viridiplantae; Streptophyta; Magnoliopsida; Poales; Poaceae
Description: partial small subunit ribosomal RNA
Source: RNAcentral
AUGACACUGUAUCUGAAAACUUUCAACUUGGAGCAGUUGUACAACAAGAAGAAGCCGAAGAAGUUUGCAUUCUCAGUGUUUAUGGGGAGUCAAUUGGCUAUGGAUCCUGACUUGUUUGAUCACAAGAAUUGUGAAAGAGAGUUCAGAAGGGCAUGUGAAAAUAACCAUAUUUCAAAAAGCGAUCUACUCUUCAUGAGUGUCGUUCAGAAUAAGCAUUGGGCGGUGGUUGUUGUGAACUUGUUGCACAAGCAAUUCAACGUUUUCGACUCGGUCAAGAACGCCACAGAUGUUAAUUUGCUCAAUAAGGCAACCACCAAUGUGAUUUCCAACAUAAAGAAAGUUGCAAGCAAAGAAUCUUCAUUUCAUUUUGAUCUUGAUUCUUUUGAGAGGGUCACCCUUGAUCACCCGAAGCAAUUAACACAUUAUAAUUGUGGCUUCUAUGCAAUUCUUUUCUUGGAAAACUUCGAUGGUGUUGUCAUGAAGCAUUUUGAUGAGAGUUGCAUCCCAAACCUCCGGAAACUUAUUGUAGCAGAUCUUAUCAAGCAUCCCCAGCAAUACCUUGGACCCUGCAGACCAGCUGAAGAAGUUGCUGGAACUUUGAUUGAAGAUCAAAGAUCAUUUUUCAUCAUCAACAUCUAG